AGUAGCGGUGAAAUGCGUAGAUAUCUGGAGGAAUACCAAAGGCGAAGGCAGUCCCCUGGUCCGAUACUGACACUGAGGUACGAAAGCGUGGGGAGCAAACAGGAUUAGAUACCCUGGUAGUCCACGCCCUAAACGAUGUCGAUUAGCCAUUGGAAGGACCCCUUUUCCUUUCAGUGACGUAGCUAACGCGUUAAAUCGACCGCCUGGGAAGUACGACCGCAAGGUUAAAACUCAAAGGAAUUGACGGGGACCUGAACAAGCGGUGAAUGAUGUGGAUUAAUUCGAUGCUACGCGAAGAACCUUACCUACCUUUGACAUGGCCAAAGUUCUACCGAGAGGCGGAGUACUCGUAAGAGGAUUGGCGCACAGGUGCUGCAUGGUUGUCGUCAGUUCGUGUCGUGAGAUGUUGGGUUCAGUCCCGCAACGAACGCAACCCUUAUCUUUAAUUGCUCCUAUUUUAACAGGCACUUUAAAGAAACUGCCAAUGAUAAGUUGGAGGAAGGUGGGGAUCACGUCAAGUCCGCAUGGCCUUUAUAGGUAGGGCUUCACACGUCAUACAAUGGUUAGAACAAAGAGCUGCAAAUUCGUAAGAAGGAGCCAAUCUCACAAACCUAACCUCAGUUCGAAUUGCGGUCUGCAACUCGAGCGCAUGAAGCCGGAAUCGCUAGUAAUCGUGGAUCAGAAUGCCA
Molecule: ribosomal RNA, 689 nt
Filed under: uncultured Candidatus Tremblayella sp.
Lineage: Bacteria; Pseudomonadati; Pseudomonadota; Betaproteobacteria
Description: bacterial SSU rRNA
Rfam family: Bacterial small subunit ribosomal RNA
Source: RNAcentral